Molecule: long non-coding RNA, 444 nt
Organism: Hyla sarda
Lineage: Eukaryota; Metazoa; Chordata; Amphibia; Anura; Hylidae
Exons: 4
Source: RefSeq, a predicted model, not a curated record
AGGAAUAAGAAUUCUAUACAAAUAUCUGAAAACAUCUGACAAAGAAAAAAUAAAUGUAGGAAGAUAAAGACGAUGAGACACUAAUACGGGAUAUACAGAAUCCUCUUAUAUCGGACUGCCAUGAAGACUUCUUACAACAAUGACUUGUGCCUCUCUUAGUGCCCUGCAUAGUAUUAGUGAGAAGCAGGAAAAACUAAGUUGGAGGGGGAACGGGAGCUACAGGGGACUAAGGAUAGAUCCCAAGUGACAUCCUGCCAAGACUGUGAUCGAUCCGAUCGAUUAGAUAAGUACGCCCGCUCCCGCGGCUGCCAUAUUGAUCUGUUUGUUUGAGUAAGGCCAUUAAUGGAUGGGAAGCGGGUUGGGAUCGGACGCAAUAACCGCCGCCUCAUAGAUGGUUAUUUUCUAGAAUAAUUACCUCAAAACGAACAAUGACAAUAAAAAUCA